GGGCCUCAAAACGCACAUAGAUUUGAGUGGUAACAAUGAAGCAGCAACGUUGCAACAGGGCUUAAAGAUGAUUGAUAGUAGAUCCGACAGAUAUCCAGUGUCAAUGACAUUACGUGAUUAUCAGCUCUGCAAAACACAGCACCCAAGGAUUUCUUCACUACAAAAGAACGGGUGCAAGGAGACCUUAAAUGAAAUAUCAGAAUACGCAGAAGAAAAUUCUCAAGCAGAACAAGCAGCACUACUUGAGAAAAUAAUUUCAAAGUUAUGUUUCUCAGAAGAGUUUGGGGCUUGUAAAGACUACACAGUUGACCUUACAUCAAUAUAUGAGCUACUGAACAACAAAACAGGACUCAAGUAUUCUUUGCUAAAAGAAAUAAUUAUUGAUCAACUUCUGAGGGCUAUAUCAACAUCCAGAGAAGAACAUGUGAUACGAGAAUCAGUAUCAGUCCUAGCAAUUAUUAUUUCACGGAACAAAUCACUUGUUGAUGACGUGAAGCGGAAAGGGUUACAGUUGAAUCAUUUGGCAACUGCUCUAAAGAAAAAUGUUCAUGAAGCGGCUAUACUAAUUUACUUAAUAAACCCAUCUCCUGCAGAAAUCAGGACAUUAGAACUCUUACCAUGUCUUGUGGAUGUGGUGUGUGCUUCAAACAGCUACAAAUGUAGCCUAAGAACACUGCGGAUAACACCUCCAGCAGCGUCAUUG
RNAcentral lists this long non-coding RNA (703 nucleotides) under Capsicum annuum. RNAcentral describes it as "long non-coding RNA (CANN_LNC001319)". The record is from RNAcentral. Lineage: Eukaryota; Viridiplantae; Streptophyta; Magnoliopsida; Solanales; Solanaceae.